Molecule: transfer RNA, 73 nt
Filed under: Trichobilharzia regenti
Lineage: Eukaryota; Metazoa; Platyhelminthes; Trematoda; Strigeidida; Schistosomatidae
Rfam family: tRNA
About the family: Transfer RNA (tRNA) molecules are approximately 80 nucleotides in length. Their secondary structure includes four short double-helical elements and three loops (D, anti-codon, and T loops). Further hydrogen bonds mediate the characteristic L-shaped molecular structure. tRNAs have two regions of fundamental functional importance: the anti-codon, which is responsible for specific mRNA codon recognition, and the 3' end, to which the tRNAs corresponding amino acid is attached (by aminoacyl-tRNA synthetases). tRNAs cope with the degeneracy of the genetic code in two manners: having more than one tRNA (with a specific anti-codon) for a particular amino acid; and 'wobble' base-pairing, i.e. permitting non-standard base-pairing at the 3rd anti-codon position.
Source: Rfam by way of RNAcentral
GCCUUUGUAGCUCAGUGGUCAGAGUACUGGUCUUGUAAGCCAUGGGUCGGGUGUUCUAUCCUCCCUGGGAUCA